GCCGCCCCGCCGCCCCGCCGCCCCGCGCCUCGGAGUCGCCGUCUGCGCCACAGCGCGCGGAGGGCCCCCCCGGCUCCCCGCAGUCACGCUGGAACGAGUCUUACCAGCCGGGAAGACCCACUUAUCUCCGGGGAGUCUGCCCCUCGGUCUUCAUGCUCCACACCGAGGGACAGCGGCGCGCUUGCCCGGCUCCCGGUGAAGACGAUCCUCCGGGAGACUCCUGUUGCACGGAGCCUGCCCCCAAGAAACGACUCCUUCUGAUGCCACCGGAAGGCUGAACAACAAGUGACAGGAGCUUGAGCUCUCCUGUUCAGAUGAAAGCGGCUGAGGGGAAGCCGAGCUGGAGAACUCCCACCUCUAGAAGCGCCUGCCCCCGCCCACAGCAGCUCCUAGAAGUCACUUGUGGCUCUGGCCUCCUUCCCUGGGCGGUGCUGGAGUGGACCUUGCCAGCUGGUCCUCGGAGCUGGGCAGGUGGACAAACCCCAGGGAAGCCGCCCCAUCGGCACCCAGUCACAGAUGCCUCCUCUUGGCUAGGGGCAAAUGACAGAGGUAGAGAGACUGGAGCCCCGAGGCUUUGGUGGUAACUUUAAGCGAGAGCAGUCCUAGAGGGGAGGAACAGUGUAGAGCCCCGUCAGCAGAUCUGGAUUAUAAAUCAGUCCCGACAGGAGCUUUUGUUCUGAGUUAAAACUUGGCAUCUGAAAAUGGAGACCAGAAGAGUAGUGGAGAUAAUUGGGAAAAGCAGCCCAGUUUGGAUUCAGUAACAAUCGGGUCUUUGCUGGUACGCAUAAAGGCCCCUUCUCCCCCACUGGCCAAAGCCACAUUUCCCAGCUCCUUUCCACCAGGGGAAAAAAAAAAAAAAAAAAAAAAAAGCUGUGGUCUUGGAGAUGCUGGAGAUAGAGGGCAAGCCAAGUUAACAGCAUGGGAUGGGCAGGGAAGGUUCUGUGCUUCAGCUGGCCGGGAGGGAGAUGUGUUUGACUCCUCUUCCAGGUUAGAUGCUGUGAUUAAGUGGAGGUAGACUGAUAGGCAAAUAUCCUUCACAUUUGUUCUGGGCUUUAGACUUUGCAACACACAUUUCCUCACAUCAUCCUCAUGACGACUCUUCAACAGGCAGCUACUGUUUCUCUGAUGUUAGAGAUAAAAUGAGUCUCUGGAGGGUUUAGCAACCUGCUCAAAGUCACAUAGAUAAUUAGCAAGAUCAGAAUGUUAAAUCAGGUCUUGGGACUCCCAGUUCUAUCCUUCCACGAAGUCAGAGUGCAUCUGGACAGCUUUUAAGCUCCAAACAGCAUGUCUCCUGCGGCUUUUCUCACCUCUGCUCCCACCCCCACCAGGCAGAGACUUGAGCUCCUGGCUCCAUCUGCAAGAUGGCCCCAGUGGAAAGUUUGAAAGGUGGUUUGGUUUCACUGGCAGGUACAGUCUUCUGGACGUUAUGGCGGGCUUCUCCAUCACUGCCCUUCCCUCCCCAGUGCUCCUCCAAGAUAAGGCUGCAGCUCCCCCCCAACCCCCUGUUCUACCUGCACUCAUUUCCUGCCGGGUUCUGUUCAUUUCCAGCGCUGGCCUUUUCCAUGGGUGGGUGGACAGAGGAUAAAGUUUCCUGCAUGACUACUUGCUCAUGAUUCAUACUUUUUAAUAAAAGCACAACUGGUCAAAAAA
Molecule: long non-coding RNA, 1650 nt
Organism: Canis lupus familiaris (dog)
Lineage: Eukaryota; Metazoa; Chordata; Mammalia; Carnivora; Canidae
Exons: 2
Source: RefSeq, a predicted model, not a curated record